CCUACGGGAGGCAGCAGUGAGGAAUAUUGGUCAAUGGGCGAGAGCCUGAACCAGCCAAGUCGCGUGAAGGAUGACGGCCCUACGGGUUGUAAACUUCUUUUGUCAGGGAGCAAUUGGGUCCACGCGUGGGCUUAGCGAGAGUACCUGAAGAAAAAGCAUCUGCUAACUCCGUGCCAGCAGCCGCGGUAAUACGGAGUAUGCGAGCGUUAUCCGGAUUUGUUGGGGUUAAAGGGUGCGUAGGCGGAAUAUCAAGUCAGCGGUAAAAAUUCGGGGCUAAACCCCGUCGUGCCGUUGAAACUGAUGUUAUUGAGUGGGCGAGAGGUAUGCGGAAUGCGUGGUGUAGCGGUGAAAUGCAUAGAUAUCACGAAGAACUCCGAUUGCGAAGGCAGCAUACCGGCGCCCAACUGACGCUGAAGCACGAAAGCGUGGGUAUCGAACAGGAUUAGAUACCCUUGUAGUC
This 460-nucleotide ribosomal RNA is filed under the name uncultured bacterium. RNAcentral describes it as "partial 16S ribosomal RNA". It matches the Rfam family "Bacterial small subunit ribosomal RNA", at positions 338 to 795 of the family's 1533-position model. The record is from RNAcentral.